AGUCCAGCUCCAGCUAGUGGCAGAUCCGGUAAGAAGUUCGUGCUUUCUUCUUCUUUCGAGAAAAGAUGCGAUUUUUGGUGGGUGAUGCUAGUUUCUUGCUCAAGUAUGUGAAGUCACUGAAGUGUAUGCAUGGUCUUGGAGCUUGGAACGCACUCGAUUACACGAAGGAAUCAUAUUUGUUUCUUUUUUUUCCGUCAAACGAGAACGGUAGGAUCUUUCCUGAAACUGUUUGAUGCACAAAAAAGCUUUGCCUUUUUUCUUUGUUUAGGGGAAAGCAAGCCUCUUUAGCAUCAAUGACGUGUAAAUCCAUGCUCGUGAUUCAAUUCCAUAGCCUAUGGGUUUUGUUAAAGAGGUCACAUAUGAGAGAUUUGGAGUCAGUUCUCUCGCUUCUCACGAACUGGAAAGAAGUCUACAUGAACUACUGUCGGACGAGGCAACAGGAAGAGAGAUGCGAGAGCUGGAGAAAGAAACCGAGGUCUCUUUUAGAAAGGCGCUGCCUUUUCUGCUAGUGUUCUUGAAUCAUACAGAACAUGACUGACCCUGUUCUUCCUCCUCUGUUUUCUGAUCAUUUUUCUCGAGCUUUCUCGCUCUUUCUCAGUUUCCAAACACUCGUGUUAUCAGAAUCGGGAUCCUAGUAGAACACAGCCCGAACUCUUAUGUUUCUGGGUCCAGACGAAAUCUCUAAAAGAAAAUAAAUUGUUGUGUUCAGUUUUUAAAGUUCUUGAUGGUUCAUUAGCCCCUGUGUCAAUUUUAAGCUUUAAAAAAGGAUGGAACAUGUUAAAGUUUAUGAAUUGACCUGUUUCCAAGCAGACCCUCACUCCCAGUCAUGACCAAAAAAAAAAAAUCUUCCGCAUUCCAAAAAAA
Molecule: long non-coding RNA, 864 nt
Organism: Tarenaya hassleriana
Lineage: Eukaryota; Viridiplantae; Streptophyta; Magnoliopsida; Brassicales; Cleomaceae
Exons: 2
Source: RefSeq, a predicted model, not a curated record